RNAcentral lists this ribosomal RNA (397 nucleotides) under uncultured bacterium. RNAcentral's name for it is "bacterial SSU rRNA". It matches the Rfam family "Bacterial small subunit ribosomal RNA", at positions 29 to 453 of the family's 1533-position model. The record is from RNAcentral.
AACGAACGCUGGCGGCAUGCCUAACACAUGCAAGUCGAACGAACCCUUCGGGGUUAGUGGCGCACGGGUGCGUAACGCGUGGGGAUCUGCCCAAAGGUUCGGAAUAACUCAGAGAAAUUUGAGCUAAUACCGGAUAAUGUCUUCGGACCAAAGAUUUAUUGCCUUUGGAUGAACCCGCGUAGGAUUAGCUUGUUGGUGGGGUAAAGGCCUACCAAGGCGACGAUCCUUAGCUGGUCUGAGAGGAUGAUCAGCCACACUGGGACUGAGACACGGCCCAGACUCCUACGGGAGGCAGCAGUGGGGAAUAUUGGACAAUGGGCGAAAGCCUGAUCCAGCAAUGCCGCGUGAGUGAUGAAGGCCUUAGGGUUGUAAAGCUCUUUUACCAGGGAUGAUAAUG